RNAcentral lists this ribosomal RNA (253 nucleotides) under uncultured bacterium. RNAcentral describes it as "partial 16S ribosomal RNA". It matches the Rfam family "Bacterial small subunit ribosomal RNA", at positions 524 to 776 of the family's 1533-position model. The record is from RNAcentral.
UACGUAGGGUGCAAGCGUUGUCCGGAAUUAUUGGGCGUAAAGAGCUCGUAGGCGGCUUGUCACGUCGUCUGUGAAAACCCGGGGCUCAACUCCGGGCCUGCAGUCGAUACGGGCUGGCUUGAGUGCGGUAGGGGAGACUGGAAUUCCUGGUGUAGCGGUGAAAUGCGCAGAUAUCAGGAGGAACACCGGUGGCGAAGGCGGGUCUCUGGGCCGUAACUGACGCUGAGGAGCGAAAGCGUGGGGAGCGAACAGG